Eucalyptus grandis is the source of this 133-nucleotide non-coding RNA. The record is from Rfam. Lineage: Eukaryota; Viridiplantae; Streptophyta; Magnoliopsida; Myrtales; Myrtaceae.
AUUGCUUCCUAAUGGCGAACUCCCUCUAAUCAAAGAUGAGGGAUGAUUUGAGUUUUCAAAGCAUAAGUCAGACAAUUUUAAUCAAUGUUAAACAGCGCCAGUGCAUUGGCGCUCCCUGUCUGAUGAUAUAUUA